This 733-nucleotide unclassified non-coding RNA is filed under the name Hevea brasiliensis (rubber tree). The record is from RNAcentral. Lineage: Eukaryota; Viridiplantae; Streptophyta; Magnoliopsida; Malpighiales; Euphorbiaceae.
AGAAUCCUGGCUACAAGUAAGGUAUGUUUCCAAUACAAGAAAUAAUGAUAGUUCAACUGACCCCAUGAGCUGCAAAUUGCAAAACUAAUAAAUAAAUAAAUAAGAACCUCGUUCAUUAUCAUCAACACUGCCAACCAUAUGCCUGUCUCUUUCCUUUUUAUUUAUUUAAUUACAGAGAAGAUGCAGCAGCUGACAUACUCAAAGGUUGGCUUUCAUUUGUAUUUGUGGUAGUGAUGAAUGAGAUUCCCCCAAAGCUAUAACAAUGAGAGAUUCUCAUAAUGUGAAGAGUUCAAAAGGAUGGAGCUCACAUGUACAAUACCACACCACACUACCAACUUUAGGUUGAAUGGAACAAAAGAUGAAGAAAACUCCCACGUCAAGCCAAGAUGCAAUAUAUCUGCUCUAAAAAGAGGGGAAGCACAAACACACAUUAUAUCUUAUAUUCUUUAUAUGGAUAUACAAAUUGUACUGUCAUGAUUUAUCAGGACAACAUGCAUAGAGCAAUCAUAGCCGUCCAAUUAUGUAUCUUUUCUUAUUUCCACAAUAUAUAAAGUAGAAGAAGAAUGUAAUAUGCGUUGUGACCCAUUACCUCCUUUCCCCUAACUUUAUGAUUUUUAACUUUGCUUUUUUCUUUGGUGUUCUUUUGUUUUUAAUUUCGGUGGUUAAACGAAAGUGUGGUCGAUACAUGGUUGGCUUGAUGCAUGCAAUAAUAGAGCUAGAAUAAAGGAGAAAG